UUAAGUUCAGCGGGUAUCCCUACCUGAUCCGAGGUCAACCUAGAAAAAUUUGGGGUUGUUGGCAAGCCUCUCCCAGGACCCUAUAGCGAGAAAAUUACUACGCGUAGAGCCUAAGAGCACCGCCACUAGUUUUAAGGCCCGCCAGACGGCGAAGCCCAACACUAGCCAGGCUAGAUUGGUAUAAAUGACGCUCGAACGAG
This 200-nucleotide unclassified non-coding RNA is filed under the name Lachnum sp. Its description in RNAcentral is "partial internal transcribed spacer 2". The record is from RNAcentral. Lineage: Eukaryota; Fungi; Ascomycota; Leotiomycetes; Helotiales; Lachnaceae.